CCUACGGGUGGCAGCAGUGGGGAAUUUUGGACAAUGGGCGCAAGCCUGAUCCAGCUAUUCCGCGUGUGGGAAGACGGCCUUCGGGUUGUAAACCACUUUUGUAGAGAACGAAAAGUCUAUUGAUAAUACCGAUAGAUGAUGACGGUACUCUAAGAAUAAGCACCGGCUAACUACGUGCCAGCAGCCGCGGUAAUACGGAGGGUGCGAGCGUUAAUCGGAAUUACUGGGCGUAAAGGGUGUGCAGGCGGUUUUGCAAGAUGGAUGUGAAAGCCCCGGGCUUAACCUGGGAAAGCCAUACAUGACUGGAAGACUAGAGUGCGUGAGAGGGGGGUGGAAUUCCAAGUGUAGCAGUGAAAUGCGUAGAUAUUUGGAAGAACACCGAUGGCGAAGGCAGCCCCCUGGGACGCAACUGACGCUCAGACACGAAAGCGUGGGGAGCAAACAGGAUUAGAUACCCUUGUAGUC
Molecule: ribosomal RNA, 465 nt
Filed under: uncultured bacterium
Lineage: Bacteria
Description: partial 16S ribosomal RNA
Rfam family: Bacterial small subunit ribosomal RNA
Source: RNAcentral